GGGUCUGCACUCCCCUUUCUCCUACAUACUCCAAAUUGAGAAAACCCUAACCCAUCUACAAAAACUACAGCCGCCACCUACAACACCUGCAACCCCACCCUCUUCCUUCGAUCUGUGUAAACGACCACCACCACCACCACCGUCUGGUGGUGGCGCGACGACGAAACAGAGAAUCGGAAGAGACGACAAGAGAGAGAGAGGGGGGUAAUAGGCUGUAGUUCGACGGCGUACGACGGCGGUGGAGUCGUCUACAGCGGCGACGGUGGCGGGGUUUUAUUUCAUUCCAUCAGGGUCGUCGGUUCAGGUCAGAUUUACGCUCAACAGCGGAUUAAAAUUCAUGGCUCGGGUCUCAACAUCAGUUGGUUCAAGCUUCAGGUGGUUCACUCCGGUUCGGGUUCGUCCGAGUUUAGUUUCAUUCGGUUUCGACUAGCAUCGGCCCAGGUGGUUUGGUGCUUGUUUGUUUUCGGGUCUCGGUCAAAACGGGUCAGUGGUGGUGCUUGGCCCGGGUUUCAUCUUGGUUCACAUUAGGUCACGGUUCGAGUACGAGUAGUUCCAGUUCCGGGUCAGCAGCGGUUCGGAUGUCGGUUCAGUUUCGAGUCUCGGUUCAAAACUGGUGCGACUAGUUUCGGCUCGAGUCACACCAGUGGGCUCAGUUCGCAACGGAAAUCAUCUCUAUGUUUCGGGCGAUUUGGUCAUUUGCCUCACCUCGUAUGCUCGUGCGGUAAUUCUCGUGGAUUGUUUCCUACGUAACCAGAGACUGCCUAGAAACACAUUUAAACUCUAAUACUUGUUGUACUAUGUCUUAUUUUCAAACAUGUAAUACAUGGGAGUUACUAUUCUAUCUCAAAGAAUCGCAGGGGAGUAGCGACUUGCUAGUUGAUUGGGCUUUGUGUUUCUUAAAUAUUGGUGUUUACUUUUAGAUUUUGUUUUGUCGGGUUCAAUGGUGGUAUACUCAUUUUGUGGUUAUUAGAGUAACUCUAUUUGUCGAUGCAAUGUUCGCUCCUCUAUUACAGUUAAAUACUAGCAUAGCAUAAGCUAAACCCAAAAUUUGAAUAACUUACUUUUGAACAUAUAGAUUAAGUGCCACAAAUUUGUUUAUUUGUAUUAUAUAAAGCUUAUUAUCAAACAAUAAUUAUAAUAUAAAAAGCUUAAAAAUUGUGAUAUUAUAUAGUAAUAG
Molecule: long non-coding RNA, 1177 nt
Filed under: Helianthus annuus (common sunflower)
Lineage: Eukaryota; Viridiplantae; Streptophyta; Magnoliopsida; Asterales; Asteraceae
Source: RNAcentral